Non-coding RNA from Pelobates cultripes (western spadefoot toad), 87 nucleotides. The record is from the annotation of a GenBank genome assembly. NCBI's taxonomy places the organism in Eukaryota, Metazoa, Chordata, Amphibia, Anura, Pelobatidae.
GGCUUGCUAGCAGCAGUUCUUCAGUGGCAAGCUUUAUGGUCAUGCAAUAUGCUAAAGCUGCCAGUUGAAGAACUGUUGAAGUUGGCU